This 248-nucleotide ribosomal RNA is filed under the name uncultured Actinomycetales bacterium. RNAcentral's name for it is "partial 16S ribosomal RNA". It matches the Rfam family "Bacterial small subunit ribosomal RNA", at positions 82 to 334 of the family's 1533-position model. Lineage: Bacteria; Bacillati; Actinomycetota; Actinomycetes; Actinomycetales. The record is from RNAcentral.
CUGGGGUACUCGAGUGGCGAACGGGUGAGUAACACGUGGGUGAUCUGCCCUGCACUUCGGGAUAAGCCUGGGAAACUGGGUCUAAUACCGGAUAGGACCAUCGUUUAGUGUCGGUGGUGGAAAGUUUUUCGGUGUGGGAUGAGCUCGCGGCCUAUCGGCUUGUUGGUGGGGUAAUGGCCUACCAAGGCGUCGACGGGUAGCCGGCCUGAGAGGGUGUACGGCCACAUUGGGACUGAGAUACGGCCCAG